Molecule: ribosomal RNA, 496 nt
Filed under: Clostridium paraputrificum
Lineage: Bacteria; Bacillati; Bacillota; Clostridia; Eubacteriales; Clostridiaceae
Description: bacterial SSU rRNA
Rfam family: Bacterial small subunit ribosomal RNA
Source: RNAcentral
ACGCUGGCGGCGUGCCUAACACAUGCAAGUCGAGCGAUGAAGUUCCUUCGGGAACGGAUUAGCGGCGGACGGGUGAGUAACACGUGGGCAACCUGCCUUAUAGAGGGGAAUAGCCUUCCGAAAGGAAGAUUAAUACCGCAUAAGAUUGUAGCUUCGCAUGAAGUAGCAAUUAAAGGAGCAAUCCGCUAUAAGAUGGGCCCGCGGCGCAUUAGCUAGUUGGUGAGGUAACGGCUCACCAAGGCGACGAUGCGUAGCCGACCUGAGAGGGUGAUCGGCCACAUUGGGACUGAGACACGGCCCAGACUCCUACGGGAGGCAGCAGUGGGGAAUAUUGCACAAUGGGGGAAACCCUGAUGCAGCAACGCCGCGUGAGUGAUGACGGCCUUCGGGUUGUAAAGCUCUGUCUUUGGGGACGAUAAUGACGGUACCCAAGGAGGAAGCCACGGCUAACUACGUGCCAGCAGCCGCGGUAAUACGUAGGUGGCAAGCGUUGUCC